UGGGGAAUAUUGGACAAUGGGCGAAAGCCUGAUCCAGCCAUGCCGCGUGUGUGAAGAAGGUCUUCGGAUUGUAAAGCACUUUAAGUUGGGAGGAAGGGCAUUAACCUAAUACGUUAGUGUUUUGACGUUACCGACAGAAUAAGCACCGGCUAACUCUGUGCCAGCCGCAGCGGUAAUACAGAGGGUGCAAGCGUUAAUCGGAAUUACUGGGCGUAAAGCGCGCGUAGGUGGUUUGUUAAGUUGGAUGUGAAAGCCCCGGGCUCAACCUGGGAACUGCAUCCAAAACUGGCAAGCUAGAGUACGGUAGAGGGUGGUGGAAUUUCCUGUGUAGCGGUGAAAUGCGUAGAUAUAGGAAGGAACACCAGUGGCGAAGGCGACCACCUGGACUGAUACUGACACUGAGGUGCGAAAGCGUGGGGAGCAAACA
This 427-nucleotide ribosomal RNA is filed under the name uncultured bacterium. RNAcentral's name for it is "partial 16S ribosomal RNA". It matches the Rfam family "Bacterial small subunit ribosomal RNA", at positions 355 to 774 of the family's 1533-position model. The record is from RNAcentral.